CUUUAACAUUCACAGAGAAAAGAGCAAGGAUGCUAAUUCGAUUCUAUUUCAUCUCCCUUAACUCUCCUCUAAUCUGUUUUAUUCUCGCACGUUUUCUAUGCUCUUCUGCUCUGUUCUCCAAGGAAGUGCAAGACAUGCUGAAGGAGACGUUUCAUACAGCAAACGAUAAAAAAAAUAACCCUUGGAAUGUGGGAACAUGGACUUACUGUCAAGUGAAGCUUUGGAUGGAUUGGUGUAAAGCACACCACCACUGGACUGUGUUCUGUGGAGUGACGAAUCAUGCCUCUCUGUUUGUCAGUCUGAUGGGCAAGUCUGGGAACAUGCCUGACUGAGUUGUUUUUCAGGGGUUGGUCUAGGCCCCUUAUUAUCAGUGAAAGGACAUCUUAAAGGGAUAUUUCACCCAAAAAUUAAAAUCACCCUCAAUCAUUCCGAAGCGCAAAAAAAGUGCAUCCAUCCAUUAUAAAAAGUGCUCCACAUAGCUCCAGGGGGUUAAUAAAGCUUCUGAAAGCGAAGCAAUGCGUUUGAGUAAGAAAAAUAUCCAUAUUUAAAAUUUUAUAAACCAUAAUCUCUAGUUUCUGCUAACUGUUGUACGCGCAUUCACAAAAAAGUGGCGUUCCAGCGGAUGACGUAAGAAGUAGGCGUAGCAUAAGCUCUGGUGAGAAGUGAUCAAUGUGGAAAUGCAGAGGAGACAGCAAAACAAAACGAGGAUUUGUAAAGAAAAAUGUUAGAGGAUUUCGAUAUAAGCCAAGAGGAGACUGGAUUUCCUUUGCUGUAAACAAAACUUGAUUCUCGCGAGACUAGCAUAUUCUCACUAGCCCUUUUAUGUUUCAGCAUACCAAGACAUUUUGGACAUUGCUUCCAACCUUGUGGAGCAGUUUGAGGAAGGCCCUUUUCUAUUCCAGCAUGAAAGCAAGGUCUAUUAACACAUGGUUGGGUGAGUUGGAUGAGAGCUUGACUGGCCCACACAGAACCCUGACCUUAACCCCACUGAACACUUUUGGGAUGAACUGCAAUGGAGACUGCGAGCCAGGGUUUCUCGUCCAGCAUCAGUGCCUGACCUCACAAAUGCUCUACUGAAUUAAUGGCCAAAAAUUCCUACAGAAAACUUGGAAGCUAUUAUAGCUGCAAAGGGGGACCAGCUCCAUAUUAAUGUCUAUGUGUUUAGAAUGCAAUCAUUAAAGUCCC
Molecule: long non-coding RNA, 1185 nt
Organism: Onychostoma macrolepis
Lineage: Eukaryota; Metazoa; Chordata; Actinopteri; Cypriniformes; Cyprinidae
Exons: 3
Source: RefSeq, a predicted model, not a curated record